AACGAACGCUGGCGGCGUGCUUAACACAUGCAAGUCGUACGAGAAACACGUCCUUCGGGAUGUGGAGUAAAGUGGCGCACGGGUGAGUAACACGUGGGUAACCUGCCCUAUGGUUCGGGAUAACUGGCCGAAAGGCCCGCUAAUACCGGAUAAGACCACAUGAGCCUCGGCUCAAGGGGUCAAAGUCGGCCUCUCAACGAAGCCGGCGCCACAGGAGGGGCCCGCGGACCAUUAGCUUGUUGGUAGGGUAACGGCCUACCAAGGCCAAGAUGGUUAGCUGGUCUGAGAGGAUGAUCAGCCACACUGGAACUGAGACACGGUCCAGACUCCUACGGGAGGCUG
This 342-nucleotide ribosomal RNA is filed under the name uncultured Pseudomonadota bacterium. Its description in RNAcentral is "bacterial SSU rRNA". It matches the Rfam family "Bacterial small subunit ribosomal RNA", at positions 29 to 351 of the family's 1533-position model. Lineage: Bacteria; Pseudomonadati; Pseudomonadota. The record is from RNAcentral.